UAAAUAAUUUGUACUGUUAAACAUGUACAACACGUAGCAGUUAUCUCAUAUGAUGAACCAUGACGCUAAACAGAGUAAAGGGACAUCUUCCUUUCGACCCGAUGAACUCCAUCGCCGACCUGACCUGGGUCAAGAUAGUCGGUGUUGGUGACAGCGGGGUCGGCAAAACUUGUCUAGUUAAAAGAUUCUGCGAGGAGAAGUUUACAGCAAAGUUUCACCCGACAGUUGGUAUAGAUUACGGCUUUAAGAUACACGUUAUCGGGGAUGUGGAUGUCAGGGUACACUUCUGGGACAUGGCUGGAAAGUUCGAGUACUAUGACGUUCGAAACGAGCUGUACAGUCAGACACAGGCAGUAAUGUUGGUGUACGAUGUGACUAACCGUGCAUCCUUCCAAAGCAUGGAGGCGUGGAACAGGGAGUGUGUCCGGUGUGCUAGCUCCUUCCCCCUGGCCACUGUAGUGGUUGCUAAUAAGGUCGACCAAGACGUUGAACGGGUUGUAUCACGUGAAGAAGGCGAGAAAUGGGCCAAAUCUCACAAACUAACCUACUGGGAAACAUCCGCCGCCACGGGAGUUGGCGUUUUCAGCAUGUUCCAUUCUCUGUUGCAAGAUGUGGUGGAAAAGAUGAGGAAUCCUCACAAUGAAUCGUACGGUGACGAUGGUUUAGAGAAGUGAGGUCCUCCUAACAAAUGGAAUUUGCACUAAAAGAUCGGUCACUGAAACACUUUAUGUCUUACAUGUGGAAUUGGAACACUCUGUGCAUUAUCCCCAGACCCCAUGUUUUGAUUUAUGUCAGAAGAAUUUGAAUGUGUGACGUUGGAUUGUCAGUGUUUGUGCAGUUAAAAGGAGUGAUCGAAGAUCUGAAUCAUAAUAUGACAAUUGGGUUGUGUUGGUAAUCAACGACAAGCUCUGUAAUGAUAAAACUGCACAAGAAAAAAUAGGAGAUAAUUAAAAAUCAAGAUGUUUUACUCGAAGAAUUCCUCAAUCUGAGACGAUCUGACAUUCUGAUUCUCGAAAAAUCCUGCCCUAUCACUGUAGCAUGAAUUUCUUGUGCCAAAUUAGGUGGAUCCAGACUGAACGAAUUAAAAGAACGUGCUUUAGAAGAGUGGCCCGAGGUCGAACACGAUUUCAGCUCCUCUGGACCCUUGGCCUGGAUCAAACGAGCUAUGUUGGCACUCGUCAACUAGAAAGCUCAUGUCUGGUAACUGGUAACUGGUAACUGGUAACUGGUUACUGGUUACUGGUUACUGGUCACUGGUUACUGGUUACUGGUUACUGGCAAAUGAUUUACUCGUUCAUUAUAUUUUGAUCUACAGCAUACCAAUUUUCACAUUCAAUUUUUUUAUUUUCCAACUCAACAGAUCACUGAUUCAAAACAUGAUGGUUAUAUUUCAUAUAAACUUAUUUUGAGGAUCAGGUUG
Bolinopsis microptera is the source of this 1420-nucleotide RNA transcript. It is a transcript of the gene named dnaJ homolog subfamily C member 27-like, with no coding region annotated. NCBI's taxonomy places the organism in Eukaryota, Metazoa, Ctenophora, Tentaculata, Lobata, Bolinopsidae. The transcript is spliced from 8 exons. The record is from RefSeq and is a predicted model, not a curated record.